CCAGACUCCUACGGGAGGCAGCAGUGGGGAAUAUUGCACAAUGGGGGAAACCCUGAUGCAGCGACGCCGCGUGAGUGAAGAAGUAUUUCGGUAUGUAAAGCUCUAUCAGCAGGGAAGAAAAUGACGGUACCUGACUAAGAAGCCCCGGCUAGCUACGUGCCAGCAGCCGCGGUAAUACGUAGGGGGCAAGCGUUAUCCGGAUUUACUGGGUGUAAAGGGAGCGUAGACGGCAUGGCAAGUCAGAUGUGAAAGCCCGGGGCUCAACCCCGGGACUGCAUUUGAAACUGUCAGGCUGGAGUGCAGGAGAGGUAAGUGGAAUUCCUAGUGUAGCGGUGAAAUGCGUAGAUAUUAGGAGGAACACCAGUGGCGAAGGCGGCCUGCUGGACGAUGACUGACGCUGAGGCUCGAAAGCGUGGGGAGCAAACAGGAUUAGAUACCCGUGUACA
Molecule: ribosomal RNA, 446 nt
Filed under: uncultured bacterium
Lineage: Bacteria
Description: bacterial SSU rRNA
Rfam family: Bacterial small subunit ribosomal RNA
Source: RNAcentral